Molecule: long non-coding RNA, 210 nt
Filed under: Actinidia chinensis (golden kiwifruit)
Lineage: Eukaryota; Viridiplantae; Streptophyta; Magnoliopsida; Ericales; Actinidiaceae
Description: long non-coding RNA (ACHI_LNC005433)
Source: RNAcentral
ACAAUAAAGCAACGGAGACAGCGAGAGCGGAGAUAGAGAUCCGUUAUCAAAACAACUAUAAAACUUAUUAAUGACAUUUAUAACAUAAAAUAAAUACAAAAAAAUUGAACAGGCUUAUUCAAGAAGAAUCGAGAAGAUGACAAGGCUUUAUAUACUGGUACGCCAACGGUCACAUAUGGUCUUCGAUGAUUUCCUGGUCAGCGAUGCUUU